UCCCCCCUCUAAUCAGUGAAACUGAUCUCCCCGUGAAGAAGCGGGGAUAUACAUAUAAGACGAGAAGACCCCAUGGAGCUUUAAACCUGACAGCACCCGCUCAUUCUAUACCCCAUUAUUUGCCCGACCCCUGUCUGCUCAGUUUUAGGUUGGGGUGACCACGGAGUAUAAAGUAACCUCCAUGAAGAAGGGGAUAUUUCCCUUAUUAGAGAACCACACUUCCAAGAACUAAUAAAUUAAUUUUCAAUGACCCGAUACCCGAUAAUCGAUCAACGAACCAAGUUACCCUGGGGAUAACAGCGCAAUCCACCCUGAAAGCCCUUAUUAACAGGUGGGUUUACGACCUCGAUGUUGGAUCAGGGUAUCCCAGUGGUGCAGCAGCUACUGAGGGUUCGUUUGUUCAACGAUUAAAACCCU
Molecule: ribosomal RNA, 417 nt
Filed under: Boophis quasiboehmei
Lineage: Eukaryota; Metazoa; Chordata; Amphibia; Anura; Mantellidae
Description: partial 16S ribosomal RNA
Rfam family: Bacterial large subunit ribosomal RNA
Source: RNAcentral